CAGGCAGCAUGUUUGGGGAGAGACGAAUGGGAGGAGACAUUUCAGGAAAGGGACCAUGGUGCUUUUAAGUUGGCGAGGUUGGAGACGCAGAGGGAAUGGCUGUGAUAGGAAACAGACCAAUGUUAUCAAGGUUUCAGAGCUUUGGAGAAGUCAACUCAAUGUGAUAAUUGCCUGAACUCUUCAAUUGGUUAAGUUGCCAGGAAAUAUUUUAGGAAGAUGUUUGCCAAGGUGACAGAAUUAUUAUCCAAACAGAAGAUAACAAUCAAAGUCGACCCAGUUUUCACUGAUCCAUACAAACAAAGUGAACUUCAUAAAAAGAUAAAGGACGUAAUGACGUUGUUGAAGAAGUCAGUCGAAGGAAGAGAGAGAGAGAAGAAGGGAGAGAGACACCAGCCUGCUAGUGUUCUCUAUCGAUGGAUGAGAAACAAUAACUGUGUCUGCCACAGAAAUCCAUGUAUGGAAUUUGGAAGUAAUCCGGUGGAGUUCACUUUGUUGCUGACCUGUAGAAGGAAACAGGUAUUUGUGUGGACGACCACGAUUCGGAUGCUUUUCGGGGUGAGGAAGUCACUACCGAGUAAACACUGAAGUGUCGUUUGGGUUCCAUCGUGGAACAUUUGGAUUUUGUAAUUACUCUCUCUAUGUUCUCUACAUCUACGUCUUAUCUUCAGACAACGGUGGUUGUUGAAGAAGCCUUUGCUCAUGUUUCACCUUAUGGCUUGCGGAACUGAACUUUAAGAACCAUUCCUGGACUUGGAGUUUGGGACUUUGCCACACACACACGAAGAGUUUAGUUUUUGGGGUUAAUGUUCAAGGUUUAACAUUUUUGAAUUCUAACAUACUAACAUUUUUACUUUUAUUUUACGUAUUAUCAUAAGUAGUGAUU
Pristis pectinata (smalltooth sawfish) is the source of this 883-nucleotide long non-coding RNA. RefSeq lists it as uncharacterized. The transcript is spliced from 4 exons. The record is from RefSeq and is a predicted model, not a curated record. NCBI's taxonomy places the organism in Eukaryota, Metazoa, Chordata, Chondrichthyes, Rhinopristiformes, Pristidae.